RNAcentral lists this long non-coding RNA (1563 nucleotides) under Sus scrofa (pig). RNAcentral's name for it is "lncRNA (ENSSSCG00045011352.1)". The record is from RNAcentral. Lineage: Eukaryota; Metazoa; Chordata; Mammalia; Artiodactyla; Suidae.
CCAUACGUGUGGCAUGUGGAAGUUUCAUGGCCAAGGAUCAAACCCCAAGCCACAGUAGUGGCAAUGCCAGAUCUUUAACCCACUGUAACACCAGGGAACUCUGAGCCCCAUUUUCUAUAUAAAACUCCAUGCAAUGUACAUAACUAAACUUGUUUUUCUUUAAUAUGUCUUAUUUCAGUUGAUUCCCAGGCCCUAGACAUUAAAGCUAAGAGGGUAGACGGGAGAAGGUUUUUUCCUCCCCUACACAUCUAAGCUGAGAUAAAAUUAAGAAAGAACACAAGGGAUUUCCAUCAUGGCACAGUGGAAAUGAAUCCAACUAGGAACCAUGAGGUUUCGGGUUCCAUCCUUGGCCUUGCUCAGUGGGCUAAGGAUCUGGUGUUGCCGACAUGCUGUUCAAAGGAAGAGGGGAACUUAAACUAAACACAUAUGAAAAGCCAAAUGCCCAAAGGCAGUGGCCCUGCCUUGGGCAAUGUUGAUCCUGUUUUGGUUUCAAGGAUAACAUACUCAGUGGCUCAGUGGCUCCAGUCUGGGGGUGGGGGAGGCAUUGCUUGAAGAGCCUCCCCUGCUUUAACCACACUUGACAUUGAUCAAAUACCAUUUAACAGAAGGUUCUGUGUAUCGCACUAUGAUGUAUUCCAAAUAGAUCUUGCCUGGAAGGAACUUCCAGUGUGGCCGUCUCAAAUUUGGGAUGCAUUUUUCAUUAGAAAAAGAAUGUCACCCAUGUGACCACUUUCUCAACCCAACGACAAUGAUCUUUCUUAAGACUCCAAAAAACAGGGAGAGCUUUCCAAAACCAGAAGUGGAAAAUGUGCAAAGGAUUGUCUUCAAAAUUUGUUAAUUUAUACGAAAAGACAUAAAAAUUAUUUUAAAAAAUCAAGUUGGUUUUAUGGCUUCUCUGUACCAAAAACAAUAAAUUUAAUUGAGGCUUGGGGCUGCCCAGGACAUUUCAAAUCAUAUGGUUAGUGGAUGCAGGAUGCAGUUUUAAUAGCAUAUAUUGGCUUUGUUUGUUUUUUGCUAAGUAAAGCAAUAUGGGGUACUGGUAGUAACUAAAAAUGACUAGAAAAUAGGAAGAUGAGACAAGAGUAGAAACUGCAGAUUCUAGAAGGAAUUGUGUUGUUUUUCAGCCUUGGCAGCUAUUUCUCCCAGCAAGUGACAUCUGAUCCUUAUCUACAGGCCCAGCCCCACCUCCAGUCUAGGAAGCUCUUAAAUAGAAGUGUUUGGGUCCUUUGAAGUGGCCUUGACAGGUUCUGUCCUGCAGCCACACAGACCUAAGGGAGGGACUAGAGUUCAAGGUCUAUAAACGAGACCCACAUGGCUCUGGCCAGUUCCCUUCUCUGAGCCCAAGUUUCCUGCAGAUGUCCUUCUCCAUCAGCUGCCAAUCCUGCUGGCUUUGAGGACCGCCUCCACUGGGGUCCCUGAUGUCAUGCUCUGCUUGCCUGUGGGAGCAUCCUGGUCAGGCCCACCCACUCACCUCAUGCUGAGCUCCAGCCCGUACUCUUUGAUCCUUCAGAUGCUCUGCCCUGGACUCCACACAAACCUCAGCCCUACACCAGAUCCGGGACU